RNAcentral lists this signal recognition particle RNA (303 nucleotides) under Nomascus leucogenys (northern white-cheeked gibbon). Its description in RNAcentral is "Metazoan signal recognition particle RNA (ENSNLEG00000025562.2)". It matches the Rfam family "Metazoan signal recognition particle RNA". From Rfam's summary of the family: The signal recognition particle (SRP) is a universally conserved ribonucleoprotein. It is involved in the co-translational targeting of proteins to membranes. The eukaryotic SRP consists of a 300-nucleotide 7S RNA and six proteins: SRPs 72, 68, 54, 19, 14, and 9. Lineage: Eukaryota; Metazoa; Chordata; Mammalia; Primates; Hylobatidae. The record is from RNAcentral.
GCUGGGCAUAGUGGUGCAUACCUGUAGUCCUGGCUUCUUGGGAGGCUGAGGCUGGGAGGAUCACUUGAGCCCAGGAGUUCUGAGCUAUAGUGCACUAUGCUGAUUGGGUGUCUGCACUAAGUUAGGCAUCAUGUGAUGAACUCCCAGGUGCCGGGGACCAACCAAGUUUCCUAAGGAGAAGUGAACCAGUUCAGGUCGGAAACAGAGCAGGUCAGAACUCCCAUGCUGAUCAGUGUGGGAGUGAUCACACAUGUGAAUAGCCCCAGAACUCCCUCCUGGGCAACAAAGUGAGACCUUGUCUCU